GGUCACUGCUAUUGGGAUUCGAUUAAGCCAUGCGAGUCGAGAGGGUUCGGCCCUCGGCUGACUGCUCAGUAACACGUGGAUAAUCUGCCCUAAGGUGGAGGAUAACCUCGGGAAACUGAGAAUAAUACUCCAUAGGUCUAAGAUGCUGGAAUGCAUUUAGACUCAAAACUCCGGUGCCUUAGGAUGAGUCUGCGGACUAUCAGGUUGUAGUCAGGGUAAUGACCUGACUAGCCUACGACGGAUAUGGGUUGUGGGAGCAAUAACCCAGAGAUGAUAUCUGAGACACGAUAUCAGGCCCUACGGGGCGCAGCAGGCGCGAAAACUUCACACUGUGCGAAAGCGCGAUGAGGGAAUCCCAAGUGCAUGCACGUAAGUGUAUGCUGUUUCUUUGUUUAAAAAGCAUAGAGAGUAAGGGCUGGGUAAGACGGGUGCCAGCCGCCGCGGUAAUACCUGCAGCUCAAGUGGUGAUCGUUAUUAUUGGGCCUAAAACGUCCGUAGCCGGUCUUAUAAAUGCCUGGGUAAAUCGUGCCGCUCAACGGUACGACUUCCGGGUAGACUGUAAGACUUGGGACCGGGAGAGGCUAGAGGUACUCCUGGGGUAGAGGUGAAAUUCUGUAAUCCUGGGGGGACCACCAGUGGCGAAGGCGUCUAGCUAGAACGGGUCUGACGGUGAGGGACGAAGCCCUGGGGCGCGAACCGGAUUAGAUACCCGGGUAGUCCAGGGUGUAAACGCUGCUUGCUUGAUGUUAGUCGGGCUCCGAGCCCGAUUAGUGUCGGAGAGAAGUUGUUAAGCAAGCUGCCUGGGAAGUACGGUCGCAAGACUGAAACUUAA
This 832-nucleotide ribosomal RNA is filed under the name uncultured archaeon. Its description in RNAcentral is "bacterial SSU rRNA". It matches the Rfam family "Archaeal small subunit ribosomal RNA", at positions 21 to 859 of the family's 1478-position model. The record is from RNAcentral.